Molecule: non-coding RNA, 113 nt
Organism: Gossypium hirsutum (cotton)
Lineage: Eukaryota; Viridiplantae; Streptophyta; Magnoliopsida; Malvales; Malvaceae
Source: Rfam
UGUUAAAAAUUCCAUCAAUUUAUAUAGUUAAAAAAUGUGGCAUGCUAUGUGUAUCUCAUUCUGACCUACAGGGACCAAUUUUUUAAUAGUAGAAAUAGAUGGGAUUUUUAACA